RNAcentral lists this long non-coding RNA (290 nucleotides) under Homo sapiens (human). RNAcentral describes it as "HSALNT0341058". The record is from RNAcentral. Lineage: Eukaryota; Metazoa; Chordata; Mammalia; Primates; Hominidae.
AAAUAUCCGCCUGCAGAUUCUACAAAAGGAGUGUUUCAAAACUGCUCUAUGAAAAGAAAGGUUCAACUCUGUGAGUUGAGUACACACAUCACAAACAAGUUUCUGAGAAUGCUUCUGUCUAGUUUUUAUGUGAAGAUAUUUCCUUUUUCACCAUAGGCCUCAAAGCGCUACAAAUAUCCACUUCCAGAUACUUCAAAAAGAGUGUUUCAAAACUGCUCUAUGGAAGGGAAUGUUCAAUUCUGUGAUUUGAAUGCAAACAUCACAAAGAAGUUUCUGAGAAUGCUUCUGUC